GACGAACGCUGGCGGCGUGCUUAACACAUGCCAGUCGAACGGAAAGGCCCUGCUUUUGUGGGGUGCUCGAGUGGCGAACGGGUGAGUAACACGUGAGUAACCUGCCCUUGACUUUGGGAUAACUUCAGGAAACUGGGGCUAAUACCGGAUAGGAGCUCCUGCUGCAUGGUGGGGGUUGGAAAGUUCGGCGGUUGGGGAUGGACUCGCGGCUUAUCAGCUUGUUGGUGGGGUAGUGGCUUACCAAGGCUUUGACGGGUAGCCGGCCUGAGAGGGUGACCGGCCACAUUGGGACUGAGAUACGGCCCAGACUCCUACGGGAGGCAGCAGUGGGGAAUAUUGCACAAUGGGCGGAAGCCUGAUGCAGCAACGCCGCGUGCGGGAUGACGGCCUUCGGGUUGUAAACCGCUUUCGCCUGUGACGAAGCGUGAGUGACGGUAAUGGGUAAAGAAGCACCGGCUAACUACGUG
Molecule: ribosomal RNA, 467 nt
Filed under: uncultured bacterium
Lineage: Bacteria
Description: partial 16S ribosomal RNA
Rfam family: Bacterial small subunit ribosomal RNA
Source: RNAcentral